Molecule: ribosomal RNA, 482 nt
Filed under: uncultured bacterium
Lineage: Bacteria
Description: bacterial SSU rRNA
Rfam family: Bacterial small subunit ribosomal RNA
Source: RNAcentral
GAUGAACGCUAGCGGCAGGCCUAACACAUGCAAGUCGAGGGGCAGCACGUCUUCGGAUGGUGGCGACCGGCGCACGGGUGCGUAACGCGUAUGCAACCUACCUCUUACAGUGGGAUAGCCCAGAGAAAUUUGGAUUAAUACCGCAUAGUAUACAGAUUCAGUAUUGGGACUGUAUUAAACAUUUAUGGGUAAGAGAUGGGCAUGCGUUCUAUUAGUUAGUUGGAGUGGUAACGGCACCCCAAGACAGCGAUAGAUAGGGGCCCUGAGAGGGGAUCCCCCACACUGGUACUGAGACACGGACCAGACUCCUACGGGAGGCAGCAGUGGGGAAUAUUGGACAAUGGGCGCAAGCCUGAUCCAGCCAUGCCGCGUGAGUGAUGAAGGCCCUAGGGUUGUAAAGCUCUUUUGUGCGGGAAGAUAAUGACGGUACCGCAAGAAUAAGCCCCGGCUAACUUCGUGCCAGCAGCCGCGGUAAUGUGACU